Molecule: long non-coding RNA, 345 nt
Filed under: Trifolium pratense (red clover)
Lineage: Eukaryota; Viridiplantae; Streptophyta; Magnoliopsida; Fabales; Fabaceae
Description: long non-coding RNA (TPRA_LNC011565)
Source: RNAcentral
ACCAUUUGUUUUUCUCCUCAAACUCACUUUCACUCCAACUCUCAAACCCUCUCAGUUGAGCUUCUUUGAAUUUUUUCAGUUGUUCCCGGAGAGAAGAGAAUCAUCAUUGUUUCUGAUUGACUCGUUCAGACUCGGCCAGGUUCGGAUUUUGAAUCGAACUGGAAAGAAAAAGAAGAAUCGAUUAUGAUGGUGCCGAAUGGGAGGUUAGGGAAUUUUGAAGCAACUGAGGAAAUCCAAACGCGAUUAUGUUUGGUUUAAUUGAUUUCUAGUUGAAUUUGUUUUUCUCUCGGUAGGUGAUGAUAGGUGAAGCGGUUGAACCAAAAUCAUGAAUGCAGAAGGAAGAUG